This 504-nucleotide unclassified non-coding RNA is filed under the name Hevea brasiliensis (rubber tree). Lineage: Eukaryota; Viridiplantae; Streptophyta; Magnoliopsida; Malpighiales; Euphorbiaceae. The record is from RNAcentral.
AGAAAUUUCUAUUUCAAGAUUUGUUUGUUUUUUUACUGUUGGUUGUUGUUAUUUGAGUUAAAGUUGAGAUCUUUACAUUGAUUGUGGCUGACGGAUUCUUGAGUGAUUACCUGUUUGGUGUAUGCUUUGUCCUUACUGAUAUAGUAUAUAAUUUUGACUUUCUAAAAGGAGGUGUUUUUAUGGCUCAUUUCUCUUAUUCUGAAUCUAUGUCUGGAAGUUCACAACAUGGGGUCCAGGUUGUUCCAUUUAAGACAUCUGCAGGAUCACUUAGGGUGUUGUUGUUGCAUGGAAACUUGGAUAUUUGGGUGAGGGAGGCUAAGAAUUUGCCAAACAUGGAUUUAUUUCAUAAGAAAUUGGAUAACUUAUUGGGAGGAUUGGCAAAACUUGGUAGUAAAAAAGAAGGAUCCCCUAAAAUUACUAGUGAUCCUUAUGUCACAGUUUCAGUAUCUAAUGCUGUAGUUGCUAGGACCUAUGUGAUUAACAAUAGCGAAAAUCCGAUAUGGA